CUGAGAAUUCAUGGAUCGAUUUGUUCGCCAUGGCUUUGAACUCUGAAGACAGGUUCCGGUGAUCUUCUUGAUUGGAUGAAGCUUCUUGCUGAAGUGUUGAUGAUCUCUUCUUGAGCUUGGCUCUCGUCUUCUUGAAUAAUGCUUCGGGAUUGUCAACAAAAUUUCCUGGAAGAUGUCUUCUAUUCAUACAUUCCCCUGCAUA
RNAcentral lists this long non-coding RNA (202 nucleotides) under Sorghum bicolor (sorghum). RNAcentral describes it as "long non-coding RNA (SBIC_LNC012368)". Lineage: Eukaryota; Viridiplantae; Streptophyta; Magnoliopsida; Poales; Poaceae. The record is from RNAcentral.